RNAcentral lists this non-coding RNA (31 nucleotides) under Rattus norvegicus (Norway rat). Lineage: Eukaryota; Metazoa; Chordata; Mammalia; Rodentia; Muridae. The record is from RNAcentral.
UAAAGGCCAAAUCCUUAAGUUCUUAGGAAGC